Molecule: long non-coding RNA, 510 nt
Organism: Panthera uncia (snow leopard)
Lineage: Eukaryota; Metazoa; Chordata; Mammalia; Carnivora; Felidae
Exons: 3
Source: RefSeq, a predicted model, not a curated record
CAAGUGGGUGUCUUUAAGCAUCCUGUGAUAGGCAGGCUUGGGAGGAGCUGACAGUCACUUGGAAACAAAUGGAAUGAAGAAGGUCAAUGGGGAUUGGCAACAUAAAAUGUACCAGGAAAAAUGUAAGGGGAAGAAAACAGAAUUUCCUCACAGAUAUUUUGUCAGAGCCUUCUGUGUGCCUGGCGCUGCUCCAGCCCUGAGGACAUGGGCGAGAGUAACACAACAAGGGCCCCACCACGCACGGCACCCACGUCUUAGGUGGAAGGGGUGAACGGGGACGUCCCAGACAGUACUGGCAACACGCCUCCUGAUGACAGCACAUAAUAACGGGCACCAUGUCAUACCACGUCCAUCCCGGCUGUGAAAGUCAUGCGAAUACAAAGCCUGCAGGAUGCCUCUGCAGGAGCCCUCACUCUCUCACGUUCCUUCCACCAUCUGGUCCUGUCUGGACCUAACCUGCAUAUCAAUUUGAGAUUCAGAGCCUGCUGAAAGUCAACAAUAAAUAAUGAU